UUAAAAAUAAGCUAAACAUUAAGCUUUUGGGCUCAUACCUCAACAAUAUAGGAUAAACCUUUUUUUUAAA
RNAcentral lists this transfer RNA (70 nucleotides) under Compsulyx cochereaui. RNAcentral's name for it is "tRNA-Met". The record is from RNAcentral. Lineage: Eukaryota; Metazoa; Arthropoda; Insecta; Lepidoptera; Sphingidae.